UACAGAGGUCUCAAGCGUUGUUCGGAUUCAUUGGGCGUAAAGGGUGCGUAGGCGGCGCGGUAAGUCGGGUGUGAAAUCUCGGGGCUUAACUCCGAAACUGCAUUCGAUACUGCCGUGCUUGAGGACUGGAGAGGAGACUGGAAUUUACGGUGUAGCGGUGAAAUGCGUAGAUAUCGUAAGGAAGACCAGUGGCGAAGGCGGAUCUCUGGGCCUGUUCUGACGCUGAGGCGCGAAAGCUAGGGGAGCGAACAGG
RNAcentral lists this ribosomal RNA (253 nucleotides) under uncultured bacterium. Its description in RNAcentral is "partial 16S ribosomal RNA". It matches the Rfam family "Bacterial small subunit ribosomal RNA", at positions 524 to 776 of the family's 1533-position model. The record is from RNAcentral.